This 433-nucleotide ribosomal RNA is filed under the name uncultured bacterium. RNAcentral describes it as "partial 16S ribosomal RNA". It matches the Rfam family "Bacterial small subunit ribosomal RNA", at positions 29 to 507 of the family's 1533-position model. The record is from RNAcentral.
AACGAACGCUGGCGGCAUGCCUAACACAUGCAAGUCGAACGAGACCUUCGGGUCUAGUGGCGCACGGGUGCGUAACGCGUGGGAACCUGCCCUUAGGUUCGGAAUAACUCCCCGAAAGGGGUGCUAAUACCGGAUAAUGUCUUCGGACCAAAGAUUUAUCGCCUUUGGAUGGGCCCGCGUUGGAUUAGCUAGUUGGUAGGGUAAAAGCCUACCAAGGCGACGAUCCAUAGCUGGUCUGAGAGGAUGAUCAGCCACACUGGGACUGAGACACGGCCCAGACUACUACGGGAGGCAGCAGUGGGGAAUAUAGGACAAUGGGCGAAAGCCUGAACCAGCAAUGACGCGUGAGUGAUGAAGGCCUUAGGGUUGUAAAGCUCUUUUACCCGGGAUGAUAAUGACAGUACCGGGAGAAUAAGCACCGGCUAACUCCGUG